This 245-nucleotide ribosomal RNA is filed under the name uncultured bacterium. RNAcentral describes it as "partial 16S ribosomal RNA". It matches the Rfam family "Bacterial small subunit ribosomal RNA", at positions 529 to 772 of the family's 1533-position model. The record is from RNAcentral.
AGGAUCCGAGCGUUAUCCGGAUUUAUUGGGUUUAAAGGGAGCGUAGGUGGAAGAUUAAGUCAGCCUGUGAAAGUUUGCGGCUCAACCUUGAAAUUGCAGUUGAUACUGGAGAUCUUGAGUGCAGUUGAGGCAGGCGGAAUUCGUGGUGUAGCGGUGAAAUGCUUAGAUAUCACGAAGAACUCCGAUUGCGAAGGCAGCUUGCUAAAGUGUAACUGACGUUCAUGCUCGAAAGUGUGGGUAUCAAA